UACAGAGGUCCCGAGCGUUGUUCGGAUUCAUUGGGCGUAAAGGGUGCGUAGGCGGUUUGCUAAGUUUGAUGUGAAAGCCCGGGGCUCAACCCUGGAAUUGCAUUGAAUACUGGCGGACUAGAGUACUGGAGAGGAAACUGGAAUUUACGGUGUAGCAGUGAAAUGCGUAGAGAUCGUAAGGAAGACCAGUGGCGAAGGCGAGUUUCUGGACAGUUACUGACGCUGAGGCACGAAGGCCAGGGGGAGCAAACGGG
This 254-nucleotide ribosomal RNA is filed under the name uncultured bacterium. RNAcentral's name for it is "partial 16S ribosomal RNA". It matches the Rfam family "Bacterial small subunit ribosomal RNA", at positions 524 to 776 of the family's 1533-position model. The record is from RNAcentral.